UAGAUAGGCGUGGGGGAUCCUUUGGGGAUGCACACCGCCCAUAUCAUGGCUUCGUGCAUGGGCGGCAUCCGCACUGCCGGAGAUCUGGUGGCGUGGAUGC
Non-coding RNA from Desulfacinum infernum DSM 9756, 100 nucleotides. The record is from Rfam. Lineage: Bacteria; Pseudomonadati; Thermodesulfobacteriota; Syntrophobacteria; Syntrophobacterales; Syntrophobacteraceae.